This 748-nucleotide ribosomal RNA is filed under the name cyanobacterium enrichment culture clone 5_10_5.4.6_C05-T7. RNAcentral describes it as "bacterial SSU rRNA". It matches the Rfam family "Bacterial small subunit ribosomal RNA", at positions 63 to 852 of the family's 1533-position model. Lineage: Bacteria; Bacillati; Cyanobacteriota. The record is from RNAcentral.
CGAACGGAAUCUUUCGGGAUUUAGUGGCGGACGGGUGAGUAACGCGUGAGAAUCUGCCUUCAGGUUCGGGACAACAGCUGGAAACGGCUGCUAAUACCGGAUGUGCCGAGAGGUGAAAGCUUUAGUGCCUGGAGAUGAGCUCGCGUCUGAUUAGCUAGUAGGAGUGGUAACGGCACCCCUAGGCGACGAUCAGUAGCUGGUCUGAGAGGAUGAUCAGCCACACUGGGACUGAGACACGGCCCAGACUCCUACGGGAGGCAGCAGUGGGGAAUUUUCCGCAAUGGGCGCAAGCCUGACGGAGCAAGACCGCGUGAGGGAAGAAGGUCUGUGGAUUGUAAACCUCUUUUGAUAGGGAAGAAGAUAGUGACGGUACCUAUCGAAUCAGCCUCGGCUAACUCCGUGCCAGCAGCCGCGGUAAUACGGAGGAGGCAAGCGUUAUCCGGAAUUAUUGGGCGUAAAGAGUCCGUAGGUGGGUGACCAAGUCAGUUGUUAAAUAGUGAAGCUUAACUUCAUAGAGGCGACUGAAACUGGUCAUCUAGAGUGUGGUAGGGGUAGAGGGAAUUUCCAGUGUAGCGGUGAAAUGCGUAGAUAUUGGAAAGAACACCGGUGGCGAAAGCGCUCUACUGGGCCUGCACUGACACUGAGGGACGAAAGCUAGGGGAGCGAAAGGGAUUAGAUACCCCUGUAGUCCUAGCCGUAAACGAUGGAUACUAGGCGUUGCCCGUAUCGACCCGAGCCGUGCCGAAGC